AGUGAACGCUGGCGGUAGGCCUAACACAUGCAAGUCGAACGGCAGCACAGUAAGAGCUUGCUCUUACGGGUGGCGAGUGGCGGACGGGUGAGGAAUACAUCGGAAUCUACUUUUUCGUGGGGGAUAACGUAGGGAAACUUACGCUAAUACCGCAUACGACCUACGGGUGAAAGCAGGGGAUCUUCGCACCUUGCGCGAUUGAAUGAGCGGAUGUCGGAUUAGGUAGUUGGCGGGGUAACGGCCCACCAAGGCGACGCUCCGUAGCUAGUAUGAGAGGAUGAACAGCCACACUGGAACUGAGACUCGGUACAGACUCCUGCGAGAGGCAGCAGUGGGGAAUAUUGGGCAUUGUGCGCAAGCCUGAGCCAGCCAUCCCGCGUGGGUGAAGGAGGCAUUCGGGUUGUAAUGCCCUUUUGUUGGGAAAGAAAAGCAGCAGGUUAAUACCCCGCUGUUCUGACGGUACCCAAGAAAUAAGCACCGGCUAACUUCGUG
RNAcentral lists this ribosomal RNA (492 nucleotides) under uncultured bacterium. RNAcentral describes it as "partial 16S ribosomal RNA". It matches the Rfam family "Bacterial small subunit ribosomal RNA", at positions 29 to 507 of the family's 1533-position model. The record is from RNAcentral.